Molecule: ribosomal RNA, 486 nt
Filed under: uncultured bacterium
Lineage: Bacteria
Description: partial 16S ribosomal RNA
Rfam family: Bacterial small subunit ribosomal RNA
Source: RNAcentral
AUUGAACGCUGGCGACAUGCCUUACACAUGCAAGUCGAACGGCAGCACGGGUUCUUGCACCUGGUGGCGAGUGGCGAACGGGUGAGUAAUACAUCUGAACAUGUCCUGUAGUUGGGGAUAGCCCGGCGAAAGCCGGAUUAAUACCUCAUACGAUCUACGGAUGAAAGCGGGGGACCUUCGGUCCUCGCGCUUUAGGGUUGGCCUAUGGCUUAUUAGCUAGUUGGUGGGGUAAAGGCCUACCAAGGCGACGAUCAGUAGCUGGUCUGAGAGGACGACCAGUCACACUGGGACUGAGACACGGCCCAGACUCCUACGGGAGGCAGCAGUGGGGAAUGUUGGACAAUGGGCGAAAGCCUGAUCCAGCAAUGCCGCGUGUGUGAAGAAGGCCUUCGGGUUGUAAAGCACUUUUGUCCGGAAAGAAAGCCUUGGCCCUAAUACGGUCGGGGGAUGACGGUACCGGAAGAAUAAGCACCGGCUAACUACGUG